AUUGAACGCUGGCGGUAUGCCUAACACAUGCAAGUCGAACGGCAGCAUGGUCUAGCUUGCUAGACUGAUGGCGAGUGGCGGACGGGUGAGUAACGCGUAGGAAUAUGCCUUGAAGAGUGGGACAACUUGGGGAAACUCAAGCUAAUACCGCAUGUACUCGAGAGAGUAAAGCUGGGGACCUUUAGGCCUGGCGCUUUAAGAUCAGCCUGCGUCCGAUUAGCUAGUUGGUAGGGUAAAGGCCUACCAAGGCGACGAUCGGUAGCUGGUCUGAGAGGAUGAUCAGCCACACUGGAACUGAGAGACGGUCCAGACUCCUACGGGAGGCAGCAGUGGGGAAUAUUGGACAAUGGGGGGAACCCUGAUCCAGCAAUGCCGCGUGUGUGAAGAAGGCCUGAGGGUUGUAAAGCACUUUCAGUGGGGAGGAGGUUUGGAAGGUUAAGAGCUAUUCAAAUGGACGUUACCCACAGAAGAAGCACCGGCUAACUCCGUGCCAGCCGCCGCGGUAA
RNAcentral lists this ribosomal RNA (506 nucleotides) under uncultured bacterium. RNAcentral's name for it is "partial 16S ribosomal RNA". It matches the Rfam family "Bacterial small subunit ribosomal RNA", at positions 30 to 523 of the family's 1533-position model. The record is from RNAcentral.